AGAGUUUGAUCCUGGCUCAGGAUGAACGCUAGCGAUAGGCCUAACACAUGCAAGUCGAGGGGCAGCACAUGAAGUAGCAAUACGGAUGGUGGCGACCGGCGCACGGGUGAGUAACGCGUAUGCAAUCUACCUACAACAAGGGAAUAACCCGUUGAAAGACGGACUAAUACCCUAUAAAACAGGGGUCCCGCAUGGGAAUAUUUGUUAAAGAUUUAUCGGUUGUAGAUGAGCAUGCGUUCCAUUAGCUUGUUGGUGAGGUAACGGCCCACCAAGGCAACGAUGGAUAGGGGAACUGAGAGGUUUAUCCCCCACACUGGUACUGAGACACGGACCAGACUCCUACGGGAGGCAGCAGUGAGGAAUAUUGGUCAAUGGACGCAAGUCUGAACCAGCCACGUCGCGUGAAGGAAGACGGCCCUACGGGUUGUAAACUUCUUUUGUAAGGGAAUAAAGUGAGUCACGUGUGACUUUUUGCAUGUACCUUACGAAUAAGGAUCGGCUAACUCCGUGCCAGCAGCCGCGGUAAUACGGAGGAUCCAAGCGUUAUCCGGAUUUAUUGGGUUUAAAGGGUGCGCAGGCGGAAGAUUAAGUCGGCGGUGAAAUUUUGCAGCUCAACUGUAAAAGUGCCUUCGAAACUGGUUUUCUUGAGUGUGGAUGAAGUAGGCGGAAUUUGUGGUGUAGCGGUGAAAUGCAUAGAUAU
Molecule: ribosomal RNA, 700 nt
Filed under: uncultured bacterium
Lineage: Bacteria
Description: bacterial SSU rRNA
Rfam family: Bacterial small subunit ribosomal RNA
Source: RNAcentral